This is an RNA transcript of Zea mays, 2019 nucleotides long. It is a transcript of the gene named Aspartokinase pseudogene, with no coding region annotated. Lineage: Eukaryota; Viridiplantae; Streptophyta; Magnoliopsida; Poales; Poaceae. The record is from RefSeq and is marked validated. The transcript has 9 exons.
CGAUUCCCCACCCCGCGCCCGCAGCCCCCCCCCCCGUCCUCCCGGCCGCAGCCGAGCACAGCCGCCGCGCCCACAAAUCACGCGACUCCCGCUUCCAUGUCCUCGCGUCCUCCAUUGCAGCCGCAUACAUAGCGUCGCCCCUUCCAUCGAUGGCAGCCAGCCGCGCCCGCAAAUCACGCGACUCCCCCUUCCAUGGCGUCGCCCCCUUCCAUCCAUGGCAGGUCCGCGCCCCUACGCCCCAAAUCACGCGGAUGGAAGGGGUCGCGAGGGAGUCUCUCUCUGGACGCGCCCGUCGCCGCCUCCAAGCUCAGGAGGGAGCGGCGCCCGGCCCCCGCGAGCGUGAACCCGGGGCCACAAUGCUUGAGGCGGAGGAGGGGCCUGGCGGUUCGCUGCCAGACGGGGUCCACCGCAGCGCCCUUCCUCAGGACGGAGGAGCCCCCCGCGGCUGCGGCGGGGGCAAGGAAUGCCCAGGCGGGGUUCACCUUCGUCAUGAAGUUCGGCGGCUCGUCGCUCGCGUCAGCCGAGCGGAUGCGGGAGGUGGCCGGCCUCAUCCUUAGCUUCCUCGACGAGAUGCCUGUCGCCGUCCUCUCCGCCAUGGGGAAGACCACCAAUAACCUCCUCCUAGGACCUUCCAUUUCUAGCUCUCAGCGCCUGAGUCAGGGCCGAAGAGAAGGCGGUGAGCUGCGGCGGAGGAGGGGCAUCUGAAAUCCCUGAGCUCGCUGUCAUCAGGGAGCUACAUCUUAGGACAAUUGAUGAGCUCGGUUUAGAUAAGUCGAUUGUUUCAGGUAUGUUGUUGUUUGCUCCACUCUGCUCUUGGAACGCCUCAGUUGUUCCUCUUGCUCUAUCAUGAAUGCUUCUGUUAUACAAUGGGAUGUCGUUCUCUUGGAUGUGCCAAAGUUUUCUCUCCCCUUAGUCUGAAUAACAAUUCCUGGUGGAUGUAUGUAUGUAUUCUCUUGGAUGUGCGAAAGUUUUCCCCUUGGAUGUGCGAAACACAUUUACUCCUCACCGCAAUCUGCGCCUCCACUCUCGACCCCUCCUCCUUCCUCCUCUCCCUAGGGACCCUUCUCCCCAACACGCAGGGGUAGCGUAGGAGGUGUUGUGGCGGCAUUAUCUAGGAAGCGGUCUGUGGACAUGAGGCAGAUCAACCCGAAGGUGCCUAAGGAGGAGGCUGUCACCAUCUCCGGUCGACUCGUCCAGAUCCUCUCCGACCAUGGGCCCCUCACCAUCGGCAACACCUAGAACAACACGAAGGUACCCAAUCAACCAGUCAGUCAGGCAGAGUGGCAAAAGCUGGGGAGCGAUGCAGGCGUCAGAGCAGCAACAACGGAGGACUCUGCCAGUGUAGAUGAGAAGGAAACACGCAAAGAGCAUCAAAAGCAAGUUCAACGAUCUUAUGUCAACCCAUCCACCUCUGAAUGAGGCAUAUUCAGAUGUGUGUGUAUUCAGAGCUCAAUAUGUUACAUCGACCUUCCCAACCCGCCGGCAGAGCUUAAGAAGCUCAAGCACAAGAAGUGCCUCGUCCAGUCCCCCCAACUCCUUCAUGGAUGUCAAGUGCCAACGAUGCUUCAGCAUGUCCAAUUCGCUUGUGGCAUAGGAAUCUCAUCCUAGAUUCAAUAGAGGGGCUGCAAUGCCGGCAUCGCCAUAGCUGGAAAUCGAGCACUGACGGACACCGGGCGCCGAGAUGGGCCGUCUUGUCCACCGCCGCAAGAACCGCAUGCGUUGGAGCCAUCCUUACACCUGCUCCUACUUCCGCGCCAGCAACCCAACACGCCGACGACACGAGCUCCUCCUUAUAAAAGUGACAUCUUUAUUGUAUAGAUAACGAAUGGUUAUAGUUAUUUAUUCUUGUGUCCAAGUGGUAUUGGAUUUUUUUAGCUUGGGGUUAAAGAAAAGACAGUCAUGUACUUUGCAUCUUUUUUGUAUUUAUGUUUUAUGCUAAAUUGUGGAAUAACACUAUAUUAGUUGUUAGCAAAGAAUUUCUGAGAUAUUAAGGUUGAUGAUAAUAUAUGUUGUUAUUUC